RNAcentral lists this ribosomal RNA (117 nucleotides) under Bacillus subtilis. Lineage: Bacteria; Bacillati; Bacillota; Bacilli; Caryophanales; Bacillaceae. The record is from RNAcentral.
UUUGGUGGCGAUAGCGAAGAGGUCACACCCGUUCCCAUACCGAACACGGAAGUUAAGCUCUUCAGCGCCGAUGGUAGUCGGGGGUUUCCCCCUGUGAGAGUAGGACAGCCGCCAAGC